RNAcentral lists this ribosomal RNA (587 nucleotides) under uncultured bacterium. Its description in RNAcentral is "partial 16S ribosomal RNA". It matches the Rfam family "Bacterial small subunit ribosomal RNA", at positions 355 to 1375 of the family's 1533-position model. The record is from RNAcentral.
UGGGGAAUUUUUGGACAAUGGGCGAAAGCCUGAUCCAGCAAUGCCGCGUGUGUGAAGAAGGCCUUCGGGUUGUAAAGCACUUUUGUCCGGAAAGAAAUCCUUGGCUCUAAUACAGUCGGGGGAUGACGGUACCGGAAGAAUAAGCACCGGCUAACUACGUGCCAGCAGCCGCGGUAAUACGUAGGGUGCAAGCGUUAAUCGGAAUUACUGGGCGUAAAGCGUGCGCAGGCGGUUUGCUAAGACCGAUGUGAAAUCCCCGGGCUCAACCUGGGAACUGCAUUGGUGACUGGCAGGCUAGAGUAUGGCAGAGGGGAGUAGAAUUCCACGUGUAGCAGUGAAAUGCGUAGAGAUGUGGAGGAAUACCGAUGGCGAAGGCAGCCCCCUGGGCCAAUACUGACGCUCAUGCACGAAAGCGUGGGGAGCAAACAGGAUUAGAUACCCUGGUAGUCCCACGCCCUAAACGAUGUCAACUAGUUGUUGGGGAUUCAUUUCCUUAGUAACGUAGCUAACGCGUGAAGUUGACCGCCUGGGGAGUACGGUCGCAAGAUUAAAACUCAAAUGAAUUGACGGGGUCAUAGCUGUUUCCU